RNAcentral lists this ribosomal RNA (422 nucleotides) under Glomus sp. RNAcentral describes it as "SSU rRNA". It matches the Rfam family "Eukaryotic small subunit ribosomal RNA", at positions 459 to 886 of the family's 1831-position model. The record is from RNAcentral. Lineage: Eukaryota; Fungi; Glomeromycota; Glomeromycetes; Glomerales; Glomeraceae.
GGGAGGUAGUGACAAUAAAUAACAAUACGGGGUUCUUUCGGAUCUCGUAAUUGGAAUGAGUACAAUUUAAAUCUCUUAACGAGGAACAAUUGGAGGGCAAGUCUGGUGCCAGCAGCCGCGGUAAUUCCAGCUCCAAUAGCGUAUAUUAAAGUUGCUGCAGUUAAAAAGCUCGUAGUUGAAUUUCGGGACCACUAUGUCGGUCGUGCUUCGGUACGUACUGUCAUUAUUGGUUUCUCCCUUCUGAAGAACCUUGAUGUCAUUAAUUUGGUGUCUUGGGGAAUCAGGACUGUUACUUUGAAAAAAUUAGAGUGUUUAAAGCAGGCUCGCGCUUGAAUACAUUAGCAUGGAAUAAUGAAAUAGGACGUUUGAUUCUAUUUUGUUGGUUUCUAGGAUCGACGUAAUGAUUAAUAGGGAUAGUUGGG